AAAUUUUGGAAAUUGUAAAAAUACAAUAAUUCAAUUAAAUUUUAUAUCUUAAAUUCCCAAUAUUAAAAUUAUUCAACUCCUAAACUUUUAGCACUUUAAUUUAUCAAACACAAUCUUAGUAAAAAGCUGACCAACCAGACCAAUAUCAUUAAGCAUAUAUACAUUCAAAUAAGAAAAGAAAAGGAAGAUUUUCCUGCCAAAACUAUCAACAAUAAAAUGCUUUCAUGCAGGAGCAUAGAACUUCACCUUUGUAUGAAAUGCCAUCA
RNAcentral lists this unclassified non-coding RNA (266 nucleotides) under Hevea brasiliensis (rubber tree). The record is from RNAcentral. Lineage: Eukaryota; Viridiplantae; Streptophyta; Magnoliopsida; Malpighiales; Euphorbiaceae.